GAUCGAGCGCGAAAAGGGCAUCUGGUGGAUGCCUUGGCACUGAGAGGCGAUGAAGGACGUAGCACGUUGCGAUAAGCUUCGGGGAGCCGCGAGCAGGCUUUGAUCCGAGGAUUUCCGAAUGGGGCAACCCACCGCGCGAGCGGUAUCGUACAGUGAAUACAUAGCUGUGCGAGGCGAACCCGGCGAACUGAAACAUCUAAGUAGCCGGAGGAAAGGACAUCAACCGAGACUCCGUUAGUAGUGGCGAGCGAACACGGACCAGGCCAGUGGUGUUGUGAUUAGAACCGGAACGGUCUGGAAAGGCCGGCCAUAGUGGGUGAUAGCCCCGUAUGGGUAGAAGGUCACAGCAUCCUCGAGUAGGGCGGGACACGUGAAAUCCUGUCUGAAAUUGGGGGGACCACCCUCCAAGCCUAAGUACUCCUCAGUGACCGAUAGUGAACCAGUACCGUGAGGGAAAGGUGAAAAGCACCCCGACAAGGGGAGUGAAACAGUUCCUGAAACCGGAUGCCUACAAGCAGUUGGAGCUCAAGGUUCGUCCUGGGUGACAGCGUACCUUUUGUAUAAUGGGUCAGCGAGUUGGUCUUACGAGCAAGCUUAAGCCGUUAGGUGUAGGCGCAGCGAAAGCGAGUCUGAACAGGGCGUUCAGUUCGUAGGAUCAGACCCGAAACCGAGUGAUCUAUCCAUGGCCAGGUUGAAGAUGCAGUAACAUGCAUUGGAGGACCGAACCCACGCCUGUUGAAAAAGUCGGGGAUGAGCUGUGGAUAGGGGUGAAAGGCCAAUCAAACUCGGAGAUAGCUGGUUCUCCGCGAAAUCUAUUUAGGUAGAGCGUCGAAUGUUUACCGCCGGGGGUAGAGCACUGGAUGGGCUAGGGGGUCCCAAAGACUUACCAAACCUAACCAAACUCCGAAUACCGGUGAGUAUAGUUCGGCAGGCAGACGGCGGGUGCUAACGUCCGUCGUCGAGAGGGAAACAACCCUGACCGCCAGCUAAGGUCCCCAAGUCAUGGCUAAGUGUGGAAGGAUGUGGGAAGGCCAAAACAACCAGGAGGUUGGCUUAGAAGCAGCCAUCCUUUAAAGAAAGCGUAAUAGCUCACUGGUCUAAACAAGCCGGCCUGCGCCGAAAAUGUAUCGGGGCUAAAGCCAUGCACCGAAGCUGCGGGUUUGCAGUGAUGCAAGCGGUAGCGGAGCGUUCCGUAAGCCUGUGAAGGGUCACCCGUGAGGGGGCCUGGAGGUAUCGGAAGUGAGAAUGCUGACAUGAGUAGCGAAAUGAGUGUGAGAAACACUCACGCCGAAUGUCCAAGGGUUCCUGCGUAAAGUUAAUCUGCGCAGGGUGAGCCGGCCCCUAAGGCGAGGGCGAAAGCCGUAGUCGAUGGGAACCAGGUUAAUAUUCCUGGGCCUGCGGGUGGUGACGGAUGGUGUGUAUCGUUUGCCCUUAUUGGAUUGGGCGGGCGGUGAAGCUGUCCCUGGAAAUAGCCCCCGCGAAUAGACCGUACCCCAAACCGACACAGGUGGACUGGUAGAGUAUACCAAGGCGCUUGAGAGAACGAUGCUGAAGGAACUCGGCAAAUUGACCCCGUAACUUCGGAAGAAGGGGUGCCUGUCAUUGCGCAAGCAGUGAUGGGUGGCACAGACCAGGGGGUAGCGACUGUUUACUAAAAACACAGGGCUCUGCGAAGUCGAGAGACGACGUAUAGGGUCUGACGCCUGCCCGGUGCCGGAAGGUUAAGAGGAGAUGUGCAAGCAUUGAAUCGAAGCCCCGGUAAACGGCGGCCGUAACUAUAACGGUCCUAAGGUAGCGAAAUUCCUUGUCGGGUAAGUUCCGACCUGCACGAAUGGCGUAACGACUUCCCCACUGUCUCCAGCAUCGGCUCAGCGAAAUUGAACUCUCCGUGAAGAUGCGGAGUACCCGCGGUCAGACGGAAAGACCCCGUGCACCUUUACUACAGUUUUGCAGUGGUGCUAGGGAUCGCUUGUGUAGCAUAGGUGGGAGGCUUUGAAGCGCGGGCGCCAGCUCGCGUGGAGCCACCGUUGAAAUACCACCCUGGCGGUCUCUGGCCUCUAACCGCGCGCCGUUAUCCGGCGCCGGGACCCUGCAUGAUGGGUAGUUUGACUGGGGCGGUCGCCUCCCAAAUCGUAACGGAGGCGCGCGAUGGUAGGCUCAAGCUGGUCGGAAAUCAGCUGACGAGUGCAAUGGCAUAAGCCUGCCUGACUGCGAGACCUACAAGUCGAGCAGAGUCGAAAGACGGUCAUAGUGAUCCGGUGGUCCCGUGUGGAAGGGCCAUCGCUCAACGAAUAAAAGGUACGCCGGGGAUAACAGGCUGAUGAUUCCCAAGAGUCCAUAUCGACGGAAUCGUUUGGCACCUCGAUGUCGGCUCAUCACAUCCUGGGGCUGGAGCAGGUCCCAAGGGUUCGGCUGUUCGCCGAUUAAAGUGGUACGUGAGCUGGGUUUAGAACGUCGUGAGACAGUUCGGUCCCUAUCUGCCGUGGGUGUUGGAGAUUUGAGAGGAGCUGCCCCUAGUACGAGAGGACCGGGGUGGACGUACCUCUGGUGAACCGGUUGUCGCGCCAGCGGCACGGCCGGGUAGCUAUGUACGGACGAGAUAACCGCUGAAAGCAUCUAAGCGGGAAACUUACCUCAAAACGAGAUCUCCCUGAGAGCCGUGGAAGACCACCACGUCGAUAGGCCAGAGGUCGAAGCUCAGCAAUGGGCGCAGCCGACUGGUACUAAUCGCUCGAUAGAGCUCAAUCGC
This 2749-nucleotide ribosomal RNA is filed under the name Oleomonas cavernae. Its description in RNAcentral is "Oleomonas sp. K1W22B-8 23S ribosomal RNA". It matches the Rfam family "Bacterial large subunit ribosomal RNA". The record is from RNAcentral. Lineage: Bacteria; Pseudomonadati; Pseudomonadota; Alphaproteobacteria; Acetobacterales; Acetobacteraceae.